RNAcentral lists this ribosomal RNA (502 nucleotides) under Cytophaga hutchinsonii. RNAcentral describes it as "bacterial SSU rRNA". It matches the Rfam family "Bacterial small subunit ribosomal RNA", at positions 398 to 900 of the family's 1533-position model. Lineage: Bacteria; Pseudomonadati; Bacteroidota; Cytophagia; Cytophagales; Cytophagaceae. The record is from RNAcentral.
CGCGUGCAGGAAGACGGCCCUCUGGGUUGUAAACUGCUUUUAUAUGGGAAGAAAAGACUCCUGCGGGAGGCAUUGACGGUACCAUAGGAAUAAGCCACGGCUAACUACGUGCCAGCAGCCGCGGUAAUACGUAGGUGGCGAGCGUUAUCCGGAUUUAUUGGGUUUAAAGGGUGCGUAGGCGGCCUGUUAAGUCGGUGGUUAAAGGUAGCAGCUUAACUGUUUUACAUGCCAUCGAUACUGACAGGCUUGAGUUAUCAGAAGGCAGGCGGAAUUUCUGGUGUAGCGGUGAAAUGCAUAGAUACCAGAAGGAACACCUAUUGCGAAGGCAGCUUGCUGCAGAUAAACUGACGCUGAUGCACGAAAGCGUGGGGAGCGAACAGGAUUAGAUACCCUGGUAGUCCACGCCGUAAACGAUGAUUACUAGUUGUUGGCGAUAUACAGUCAGUGACCAAGGGAAACCGAUAAGUAAUCCACCUGGGGAGUACGCCGGCAACGGUGAAAC